RNAcentral lists this ribosomal RNA (253 nucleotides) under uncultured bacterium. RNAcentral's name for it is "partial 16S ribosomal RNA". It matches the Rfam family "Bacterial small subunit ribosomal RNA", at positions 524 to 776 of the family's 1533-position model. The record is from RNAcentral.
UACGGAGAGUGCGAACGUUGUUCGGAUUCACUGGGCGUAAAGGGCACGUAGGCGGCUCGGCAAAUCGGUCGUGGAAUCCCGGCGCUUACCGUCGGAACGGCGGCCGAAAAUACCGAGCUAGAGGGCGUGAGGGGUCACUGGAACUCCUGGUGAAGCGGUGAAAUGCGUAGAUAUCAGGAGGAACGCCGGAGGCGAAAGCGAGUGACUGGCGCGUUCCUGACGCUGAGGUGCGAAAGCGUGGGGAGCAAACAGG